RNAcentral lists this ribosomal RNA (505 nucleotides) under uncultured Lachnospiraceae bacterium. Its description in RNAcentral is "bacterial SSU rRNA". It matches the Rfam family "Bacterial small subunit ribosomal RNA", at positions 1 to 507 of the family's 1533-position model. The record is from RNAcentral. Lineage: Bacteria; Bacillati; Bacillota; Clostridia; Lachnospirales; Lachnospiraceae.
GGUUUAGUAUCCUGCGUCAGGAGUGAACGCUGGCGGCGUGCGUUAACACAUAGCAAGUCGAACGGAGCAUAAGAGACAGAAUACUACGGUAGGAAGAUUUUAUUGACUGAGUGGCGGACGGGUGGAGUAACGCGUGGGUAACCUGCCUCAUACAGGGGAGUAACAGUUAGAAAUGGCUGCUAAUACCGCAUAAGCGCACAGUACUGCAUGGUACAGUGUGAAAAACUCUGGUGGUAUGAGAUGGACCCGCGUCUGAUUAGCUAGUUGGUGAGUAAGGGCUCACCAAGGCAACGAUCAGUAGCCGACCUGAGAGGGUGAACGGCCACAUUGGGACUGAGACACGGCCCAAACUCCUACGGGAGGCAGCAGUGGGGGAAUAUUGCACAAUGGGGGGAACCCUGAUGCAGCGACGCCGCGUGAAGGAAGAAGUAUUUCGGUAUGUAAACUUCUAUCAGCAGGGAAGAAAAUGACGGUACCUGACUAAGAAGCCCCGGCUAACUACGUG